Molecule: long non-coding RNA, 1560 nt
Filed under: Equus caballus (horse)
Lineage: Eukaryota; Metazoa; Chordata; Mammalia; Perissodactyla; Equidae
Description: lncRNA (ENSECAG00000042212.2)
Source: RNAcentral
GUCUAAAGGUAUGGCUGUGUUUUUUUUACUUUGGAUUCUUUACAUUGGAUGCAUGGCUAUCAGCCUCUCUGUUAAACUACGCAGACCAGAAAUGGACGCUUUUGAAUGGGGUAAGCUAGACACCGUGGUGAAAGGAUAGCCCCCAUGCUUGAGAGCUGUAGCUGCCACCUGCUUUUUAAUCAAGAAAGCAAAAAAAUUGGCUAUGGGCCUACCUAUGAGGGUUGGACCCCUACAUCAAUUCUCUAGUCUACCAGUGACUGAUGACGCCUCUGGCUAUCCCAAAAGAGAAUAGUGCACUAUCAAGAUAUGAUGCUAGAUUCCCUUCAGAUUUCUCUAAAAUCCUGUCAUAUCUUAAAUGCUGCUGCUCUUCUCCUUGAUUCCAAUGGGUCUUUAAGCCAUGCUUGCCCAGAAGUGACCUCCAGCCAUAGAGAUCUCCAGAGUGAAUCAUGGACGUUGAACAUGGGCCAGAGAUGCUUAAACUGCUAGAAGUGGUACAGGUCCCCAAGAAAGUAGCUGGGAUCCAUGGUAAAGCCCAUCAAAGUGAGGAAUCAGAUUCCACAAAAGGACAUAACGUGGCAGCUGCAGCUGCAAAAAUGGCCGCUCCAUCAGGAGAGCUUCUGUAGUUACCAUUAAUUUCCACACUGCCCUUGUGUGAACUGACACCUUCUGUGAACUUACUACAGAUGAAGUUAGGGAAGCUACUACACAGCAUUAUCAGUAGUCCCCAAUAGUCAAGGGCUGGAUGACAAAGAAACAAGGCAAGGUUUAUGUCCCCAAAUAGCUUUAGUGUGCUCGUGACAACUUAACUCUCAAGGAUUCAACCCACUUUGAUUUUGGUAACACCAUGACCUCACAGAGACCACCUCUGACCUCAUAGAGGCCCCUUCUGCCCUCGCUGACAGACAGAGAUCUCAGCUGACCUAACAGAGACAUCCCCUGACACUUUAGACACUCCCCCUGACCAGAUAGAGACAUCCCAUGCCCACACAGAGACUUGUCUGACCACCCAGAGACCUCCACUGACCUCAUAGUGAAGCCCUCUUCCCUCAAAGUGAGGUCUCCUGAUUUCACAGAGAACUCCCUGAACACACAAAGAACUCCCAUGACCUCCAAGAAACCUCUAGUGACAUUAUAGAGACCCCCCCUGUGACCUCACCAAGACCUGAUAUCACAGAGGCCAACCAUUACCUCAACAAGACCCCCUACAACACAGUGAGAACUCCACUAAUUUCAUGGAAACCUCAAGUGACUCUCACCAGAUCUAGGAUCUCAGGGAAAUGAAGAGAGGAUGGUGGGUGCACCCGCCCCUCCCCAACUGACUGACAAAUCCCAUGGGUCUUAUUGACUGUUAGCACUCUGGAAGUCCUGCUCCAUGGAGGGAAAACCCUUCUUUCUAUCUACGCAUGCACAGCAAAGCCUACUGCGGUGGUGUACUUGGCGGUUGGGGAAAUGGCACUGGCGGUGGCUGCAGUGGUAAAGGCCAUGGUGGCAGCUGCUUCCCAGACAUCUGGCAUCUUGGGGACCCGAGGAGUGCAUCGUUGGUGCACCCACACCCUCCCC